UUCUUGAACCUUUUUGGGGCCUGCUUAAAGUUUUCUUUACAUUGUUGAACGAGUCUCUGUGUUGUCAAUCCCCGACACCCUCCGCACGUUCUCAGACACAGGCUGCGCGGCAGACUCGACAAGGAAGUGUAACAGUCAACUAAACUUGAUGGAUAGAAAGACAACACAUCACAUACCUUCUCUCAUUGAGUUUUGUUAAAAAUAGUUUAUUAACAUGUAAAUGUCAUGUGCACAUUAGAGAAAACAGUCCUGAAUAAGCCUGGAGAUUACAUGGCAAAGAGAGUCUGCUUCCAGCUCUAAUUUCCAUCAUAGAUCAUAACAAAGAAAGCCUGCUGUGAAGGAAGUUUCUGUUUCUUAAAAAUGUCUAACAUGUGGUCAGCAAAGCACCUUGAAAAAGAUCGGUUUGCUGUGUGUAUGGGAGUCUAUGCUUUUGUCCUGCUUGAGUCUCUGCAGACCUAGUUAGUAAUUUCCUCAGAACACAGAGGGAGAUUUCCUUAUGAAUGGAAGUAGCCUUAAUGAAUAUGCAUUUGUGUUGUAUGGUAUUUUUGCUCUUUGGGGAGCCUACCACCCAGCACUCGAAUCAAUGACACAUAGAGUCUUAUUAUAUGUCAAUGCCCGGCCUUAUUUUGACUAGCUUCCUGCCAGCUUUUAAUUUACAUUAUCCAGUGUACCUUUCUUUCUUUCUUUCUUUCUUUCUUUCUUUCUUUCUUUCUUUCUUUCUUUCUUUCUUUUUUUGACAGAAAAGGGGAAACGUUGUAGAAUAUUGUUGUAAAGUGUGUUGCUUUUAUUUAUGUUGCAGUUGUUUAACUCUGUGAAGCUGUGUUACUUUGUGUGCCUAAAACACCUGUGGUCUAAUAAAGAACUUAACAGACAAUAGAGAGGCAGGAGAAAGGAUAAAUAGAAGGAGAAAUCUGGGAGAAAAAAAAGGAGCCAGAGAGGGACUAGGCAGGGGGCAUUCACCCUGCUACACACCUAGCCACAGAAUAAGAGUGAAAGUAAGAGUAUAGAAGUAAGAAAAGUAGCCGGGCGGUGGUGACGCACGCCUGUAAUCCCAGCACUCGGGAGGCAGAGGCAGGCAGAUCUCUGUGAGUUUGAGACCAGCCUGGUCUACCGAGCGAGUUCCAGGACAUGGUCCAAAAAACAAUACAGAGAAACCCUGUCUCGAAAAACCAAAAAAAAAAAGUAAGAAAAGAAUAAGCCCAGAAAACAAAUGUAGAUGGCAAUAAUUUAAGGAAAGCUAGCAACAGACCAGCCAAGAUAGGCCUAGCAUUUAUAAUUAAGAAAAUAAUAUGACUCUAUGUGUUUAUUUGGGAGAUAUAACAACCAAGAGUAUUUUGGCAUACCAGCAUGGGCCUCAAAUUUAUAUAGGGCAGAGAAAGCUUGAAAAAAAGGAUAGGGCUCCUUUAAGAGUUUCUGCCUGCUGGGGAGCCCUCAAGCAACCAGUAUGUGAAGUAGGAACAAAAAUCUAAGUAAAAAACGCCUGCCAAAGCAGUAUCGUUCUAGAGCUCUAGGGAGGCUGAGUACAGUUCUUGGUCACAAACUUCCAACCUGACUAUGUGCUUUAGGUUUUGCUUUCACAGCUCAAGAAGUGGAUAAACCCAGCCACCGGAGCUUCGGACACACGGCCCAGCGGUUUAGAGUUUGUUCUUGCAGUCAAAAGGGCUAAAAGAUACACAAUAAAAGGGUUUUUCAUGGCAGUGACACACAUCUGCUGCUGACAGCACCACUCUACUCAGAGAGGAUGGGCACGGAAGAAACUCCUUCUGGAGUUCACUUUCUUUGUGGAAAGGCUAGCAACUGGGCAAAGAAACUGCUGCUGCCAAUGUGCUGUAAAGAAUGGACAUGCAGGACUCACAGCAAAAACCAUUGAACUUUGCUGAAACAAAGCAGGAGAGUCCUUCAAAAUUCCUGCUUCACUGAAGGGUCUGACAGACAUUUUGCCAGACACAAGGGAAAGUAACUAAUGAACUUUGCCAAAACAAGACAGUACAGUCCAAAAUUCCUGCUUCAUAAAAGGUCUGCCAGCUACUUUAGGCAUGUAGGGUUGAAGGUGGAUGUCCCAGAAUUGCAGAGGUACUCUUAGGUGACUGUCCAGGUAGCCUAAUGUCUCCGUUGUUAGAUAAUAUUACAUCCUUCUGGGCCUUUGAUGGAGGUGAAGACUAGAUAGUUAUAGUUGUUGUUUUUUUCUUAGUUAUGAUAGAAAGAAAUUUUGUAUAAAACUUUGGAUUCACUAAGAUAGGAUAGAUAAUGGAUUAUUUUCCUCUAAAUUUCCUAAAUAUAAAUGAGCUGAAUAGUGUAAUCUUAAAUGAUAACUUUUUGUUAUAUGUAGUUAUACUGUGCUAGAGCCAAAACCUUUUUUGACAAAAAAGGGGAAAAGGGUUACUUUUGUUUAUGUUGCAUUUGUUUAACUCUGUGAAAUUGUUACUGUGCCUGUCUAAACAUCUGAUUGUCUAAUAAAGAACUGAACAGCCAAUGAUGAUGCAGGAAAAAGGAUAGGUGGGGCUGAUGGGCAGAGAGAAUAGGAGAAAUCUGGGAUUUAAAAAAAAAAAAAGCCAGAAAAGGAGAAGGACAUCAGGGAUCAGCCACUCAGCUACCCAUCCAGCUAUAGAGUAAAAGUGAAAGUAAGAUUAUAGAAAUAAGAAAAGGGACAGCCCACAGACAAAAGGUAGAUGGGGAUAAUUUAAGUUAAGGAAAGCUGGCAAGAAACAAGACAAGUUAAUGCCAAGCAUUUAUAAUUAAGUAAAUAAUAACACACCUUCCAUUUAUUUAGGAACUGGGUGGCACCCUCCACAAAGAGUGAAACAAUCAACAAUUGGAUGACCUCAACUUAUAUACAUUUGACAUCCAUCAUUUUUCAUAAAUUUUUUGAAUAUACUUUUUUUAGAGCUACAUAGCAUCCCUUCUGUGUGUGUGAAUGUAUAAUAAACAUAUACAUUUAUAUUUA
Molecule: long non-coding RNA, 2944 nt
Organism: Mesocricetus auratus (golden hamster)
Lineage: Eukaryota; Metazoa; Chordata; Mammalia; Rodentia; Cricetidae
Exons: 2
Source: RefSeq, a predicted model, not a curated record